Molecule: ribosomal RNA, 482 nt
Filed under: uncultured bacterium
Lineage: Bacteria
Description: bacterial SSU rRNA
Rfam family: Bacterial small subunit ribosomal RNA
Source: RNAcentral
ACGCUGGCGGCGUGGAUUAGGCAUGCAAGUCGAACGGUAUCAUCCUUUCGGGGGUGAGAGAGUGGCGAACUGGUGAGUAACACGUAGGUUAUCUACCCUCAAGACGGGGACAACCCAGGGAAACUUGGGCUAAUACCGGAUGUGAGCAACUUUUAGUUGUUUGAAAGGUGGCGUAAGCUGUCGCUUGGGGAUGAGCCUGCGUCCUAUUAGUUAGUUGGUGAGGUAACGGCUCACCUAGGCAAUGAUAGGUAGGCGGCCUUAACGGGUGGUCGCCCACACUGGGAUUGAGAUACGGCCCAGACUCCUACGGGAGGCAGCAGUCGAGAAUAGUCUACAAUGGUCGGAAGACUGAUAGUGCGACGCCGCGUGAACGAUGAAUCCCUUCGGGGUGUAAAGUUCUUUUAUAUGUGAGCAGUGCUUCUUAUAUUAACAGUAUGGGGAGAGAGAUAUUAGCAUAUGAAUAAGCAACGGCUAACUCCGUG